Non-coding RNA from Triticum urartu, 6309 nucleotides. The record is from RefSeq and is a predicted model, not a curated record. Lineage: Eukaryota; Viridiplantae; Streptophyta; Magnoliopsida; Poales; Poaceae.
GGCGGGGCGGGGGGGGGCGGCGGCGGCCGGGAACGGAGAAGCGGCCGGGCUGGGAGAGCGUCCUCGUCGCCUUCAACCUCCCCACGCGAGAGAGGAAAAAGUAGAGACGGUGAAGCCUUGGGUUACAUGACAACUGCAAAAAACUUUUCAAACAGGUGUGCCUGCAAUGUAACAUUGGAUUUCAGCAAUAUUAUUGGUUCUGCAUACAAGGAUACUACCAAAUGGAGUUGAAAUUGCAGCUGCGUUAAGUUUGGUGACAUUUGCAAAGGAUUGGUUGAAAGAACAGAGUCACAAUACAGGAAAACGUUGUUCUCCUGUUUUUGACUGCAUCCUUGCGCCGUCGUUACAACCGAUUUCCAAAGGCUAAACCUUGAAAUCAAAUGUAAUUUUGAAGCCAUUCUUGAUUAUUUUGCCAGCUGCGGUACAUGAUCAGAACUAAGGCGACAAUGGCCAGACUAUGUAAGUUAUUCAUUCAAUGUUUUUCUACAUCCCGAUUAAUGGGCAAUUCGGAGAGCGUUGUGUAAUCUCUACUUUAAUGAACUAUAUUAUAUCGGUUAUUUUAUUCUUCCUUUUUUUGUUCAUUGGCUUUACUACUUUAUAGACACCUACCAGAGGCUAUAAGGAAAGUGAGCUUGAAUAUGGUGCAGGAUGUCAGUAAAAUAUGUGAAUGGAUCAAGAAUUGUGUCUGGUGCAUAGAUUUAAUUGAUACAUUGCCAGUUUGGACAACACCUUCAAACAUUAUCUCGGAAAGAGUUCAUCUGCACAACAAGACUUGGAUGGAAAGGCAUUUCUGCCCCAGCACAACAUAACUCCUGGAGUCAUAUUCGGCCUCCCAAGGUCCUACUAGGGUUGUUCUUUCUAAGGGCGAAGCAUCGCCUGUUGUGCCAAUGCCGGGCAAAAGGAAUAGCUCUCUUGAAGGACAAAAUGCUGUAACUCUCUUCAUAUACAAGAUAGAACCUAUGACUUCAAUUCCGGUAUAAUUUCGCCACUUGCGCCUGUGGCGCAAUGGGUCAUAUAUUCUCUGAGGUUCCCUAAUGUUUCUGAAAGCUGCCCUCAUGUUUGCUAAUGUUUGAUUUGUGCUGUCGCAAGUAGCUUUUGUUUGCACUACUGGACGAACUAUGUUGAGCUUUACUUCUAGGAGGCAAAUUACUCUUUAGCUUAAACAGAUACUAAGAUUUUACAGGACAUUUUACACGGCUCUUUGAUCACAUCUCCUGGUAUUUUGGGUCUUUCAGGUGAUAGAAAUAGCCAGAUGGAUCACGAAAACAUUGUGAAGAUGGUGAGAUAUUGCAAGGAGUCUUAUCCGUUCUGAGGAAUGCUUGUCUUUGAGUACCAGCCAAAUGGGACCCUCUACGGUAAGCCGAUAUGGUCUUGGCACUGCAACCUUGUGCAUAUGAUGCCAUUUGACUGAAAACAUGGCGGGCGAAGAUUUUGCUCAGCAUCGCGCGCAUUCUAAUACACUUCACACUGAGCCGAUGGCUCUUCUCGCGCUCCCCGUGUUGACGGCCAGUUCAGUCUAUUAGUUAUAACAUGGCUUCUUCACUGCAGUUGACAACGAAGACUGCAGGGUGAAAACCCCACAGCAAAUUUAUUGAUUAGUAAAGUCAUAUACAAAAGAUUUGCAAAGGUUAGAGAGUCAUCUAGCUAUAACAGAGAGUCAAUCCAUAUUGCAAACUGUUGUGAGUACUUGGCUUUCACCCUAUGCAAGUGCAGGGUGAUCUCAUGCCUAAAUUUGCUUGUCCAGGAUCUAAAAGAUGGCAACACAUUCUGAAAAAUAGCUUCAUUUCUCUGUUUCCAAAUGUGCCAGGCAGCCAGAAUAACACUGCUGCUUUGUCAACAUAAAACUCUGCUCAAUGGAGUUACCCUGCUGCCAGUGAAUCUGUAGAUAGUUCCAUAUCCUGAUGCUAAAGUUGCAGCCAAAAAAGAGAUGCAUCCAAUCCUCAGUGCACCUUGUGGGACACAACACACAGUGAAAGACAUUCUCCAAAAAAAACACACGCACAGUGAAAGACAUCAGUGACAUUCCAGUGUCUUCUGCGAAGCAUGUCUCUGGUAUUUAGUAUAUCACUGAAAAGCAGCCAAGCAUGGUAUUUUCAAUUUAAAUCAUGUAAGUGUGGUUUUUCAUGGAUGUGAUACUCCGUGCUGCAAUCAUUUGGCAAUCAUUCUUGCCAUGAAGAAAUCGUAGAGAUUACAACCUUUGAGAAGGUUAAAGAUACAAUAUGUUCUCCUCGAGUAAAAUUAGUUCUGCGCAUUCUGAAAUAGAAGUUAUGUCUUGCAACUUCUGGUCACUGCUCUUUGCUAUAAGAAUCAUUGGUUGUUCAGGUAAAAAAAAUAAUCAUUGGUUGUAAUGAGCAUUCAUAGGGCAUAUUGUGGUGUUUAAAAUCUGAAUAGUCAGUUGCUCUUUUAUUUCUUUAUUGCAGCUACCAUCCCAUAUUAAAUCCCUUUGCAUGUAUUGACUAUUUGUUCUGGAUUCUGGUCAAAACAAAAACAUUAAUGUUGAAAACUAAAUAUGCAAUUUUGACUGUAAGAAAUUUAACUAAUGUCAUUUGUAUUUCAAUCAAAUAACUUAAUAAUGGUUUAAGCUCUGGACUGCUGCUUUUGCCCGCAAAAGAUUAAUUUCCCUUUUACAGGUUUUUGUACAGCUGUUGAUUGUGCAAUGCUCAUGCUUUUGUAGAGUGAAAGAUAGAAUCUUGCCAUUUCCGUUGGAUUUCAUGAAUUUUUGCAGAUGUGUGGGUAGAAGAAAUCCAAAAGGGAAGCACAUAGCGAUCACAUUGGAGCCCUCAUUGUCGUCGAUGGAAACACUGAAGCGAGCUUUUUCCCGACCAAACCCGAAGUCCCUCUGUGUAGUCGCUCUCUUCCUCCUUCUCCGACUGGCCGGCGCUGCCUGCGCCGCUCCCCUCCGCGCAGCUCCACGCCGCUUGCGCCUCCUCUCCCUCCCUCGCGGUUCCUCUCCCUCCCCAGCACAGGCGCCCUCUCCCUUGUGUGCGUCACCGGCGCUCUCUUCCUCUCGCAUGUCCCUCCGCAUUGGUGAAAAUGCGAUUUUCCCCUUCGGCACUCCGAUCUGCAGCGGCCGUGCUCAAACUGCGGUGGGGACUACCAAGACGGCGCGACGGAGCUGCUUUUGUCGGUCGCCUGCACGGGGCUCCUGCUGCCGGUCGUCAGGUGAGGAGCGCGUCUCCUGCAGCUGCGACUACCUGGCCACGCAGCAGCGGCGGCGGGAUGGUGGCGUCAAGGGGGCUCCUCCGUCCGCUCUAGGACUCCACUCCGCCAAAGGGGGCGAGCUCCUCCGUCCGCUCUAGGACUCCACCGCCAUGGGGGCACGCCCUUGCAUCCGGGAGGUGCUCGAGCUUGUCAAAGGUGCCCCUCCCCUUCCCCCACUGGAUCCUAUUUGCUGGUGAAUUGCAGGUCCAAGUCACUGAAUGUAUUGGCAGAGUUCAUAUUUAGACUGAAUGUUUACUACUCCUCUCAAUAGCAUAUUGAAUUUUUAGACAAUUUAAUCUUGAAGUAUAAACUGAAUGUUUAGACAGAGUUUUUAUUCAUGUCUAAGUAUAAACUGAAUGCUGCUCGUCUUUAGUAAUGCUACCUCGUAACGGCAGGAUUCCUGGCGCACCAUGGCCGUACAUCUGUUUCGCCCCUCAUUAGCCCAAUUUUAGUUUGGCAGUGUUGGGGAUUGGGAUGUGCUGAUUAGGUGCGUGCUUCUUCUAUGUAGAAACUAGUUGAUCUACUGCUUGGCAGAAAAGGAGGACAUUUACAUUUUCUCAAACUACACUCAAACCAGUUAGAGUUAGGGCUUUACACUUUAGAAGAACUGAGCUCUGAAUAUUCAUCUGUUUUAAUAAAAAAAAAUCAGGGUUUCCGCUUGAAUGGAAGAAGCACCUUUUGCUAUUCCCUUUUUGUGUCCGCUAACAAUACUAAAAUGUCAUCAAGCUGAACUUACAAAUGAUUCCUCUAUGAGCUCCAGUUUCAUGUACUGUCUUUGCUGCACUUCCAUUUUCGUCAUUCUGUAGCAGCUAAAACAUGGUGCGGCAUUGUCACCUCCAGAACAAUGGAGAAAGACUUGAUCAGAGUUCUUAUUCAGAGUUCUGGGCUUCAGAGCUCGGUCUGAAUUUGUAAGAGAGAUCUAGGUGUGAACUAUGAACUAGGAGCUGUACUCACAUUGCACAUAAAGAAGAUGCUGUAAACUGUCUUGGUGAAUUUGUUCCAAUUGCAGAAAAUUCAGUCACUCUAACUGCGCAUAAAGUAAAUUUUAGAAUGACUGAAUUUUAGAAUUCGUUCGAAUUGCUGAAAAUACUCCAUGUUCAAGUUGAAAAUGGCUGUGGAGAAUUUUAGAAAGUGGCAUUUGUAAUCAGUGUGCUAUCUUUUGAGUUGCUGUAUUAAUAUAGGAGUACUCUGUUUAGAACAUGGAGCAAAUUCAGUAGACAUUUUUACAAGAAUUCAGUAGAUUUCUUUUGUACUGAAAACUUUAGACUUGCUUUUGUACUGCUCCAGCUUACUCAAAACUUCAGAACAUGUUCAGUUUUCAGUUAAUUCCAUACAAGGGACUCUUGCUUUUUUACUAAAGCUAGAUUGCAAUUGCAGUAGAAGAUAAUCUCAUAUCAUCAGAUAUCAUAUCAUCUACUGAUGAUGAGAUUAGCAAAGGCCUUGCUUAACAAGCAUACAGAUUAGCAAAGGCCUUGCUUGCCUCAUUAGUUGCUGUAGUUGUCAAGCAAAAAUUUCAUUCCACUAACCCAAAUUAAUUCAAAUAAUUCAAAACUGUCUGACAAUGAUACUUCACUUAAUGUCGUAAUGGUACCACAUUCAGCAGGCAAGAAUCUGAAGGACUUAUUGGAUCAUGGAGCAAGGGAUAAGUACAUAUUCUUCUUGCAGUAAGUGGUUUAGCUGUUGUUAGCUGGACAUGCAAAAUUCUCCUUACUAUUGUUAGCUGUUGAACUUUGUACUACUCCAGUGGUAGAUUUUGGGUAGUUAAACAUCUCUACUCUCUUAUUUCUGCUUAUUGUUUUAAUAUUUUUCCAGAUCGUUUUGCGGAAGAUAGUCCAUUAGUUUGACAACAUUCUGUCUAAUAAAUCAUACUACAAACAGUUUCUACAGCCAUUCUCUUGUUUAUUCCUCUAGUACUGAUAGAAGUCCAAGAGCUGUGGAUGCAUCUAUGUGCUUGUGAAUCCAUGCUAAAUUGGAAUGGAGUACAUUUUUUUUUAAAACAAGUCAGUUACUUAAUUAUCAGGUCUGUACUCAUGUGCCAUGCAUAAAUUGUGUUAUCUUGAAUGACUGAUCUAAGUCACAUAUCUUACGAGUUAAUUUUUGAUAUAGCAAGCAACAACAUGAUGAAGAGAUUACAACAACAACAGUCGCUACAGAUCAAUCGACAGGGGAAGAACAGCAGAAGACCAUAGAUUAUUGUACCUUCUUCUUCAGAGAAGAUCAGCAGGUCAGCACGAGCACGAGCUCCACCGGCAAGCAUGCAGCGUGGGCGAGCGUGCACGCACCCGAGCGUGGGUGAUACUCCAAUGGCAGCGGCGCCGGUUUUUGGUCACCGGAGGAGCUACUGACGAGCUCCAAUGGCAGCAAGCGGCAGACCACCACGGCCAGGAGAACCAGCAACCAAUUGACAGGGGAAAAGUGACCUGGAGGACCCGAAGAUCACCCUGAAGCUGUUGAGCCGCUCGGGGAAACCAGAGGAGGAGCGAUGGCGUUGAGCUCGUGUGCAGAUUCGGCGGCCGGAGUGGGAGGAGACGGGAUCGAUUUCGUCGAUCAGGGGCUUCCCAGCAAGCGUGGCUCAAGGAGGGCGUAGGUAUCGGCAAGGCGGAGCUCCUGAUAUGCUCGGGAAGGACUGAGGAGGUGCGACGGCGCCGAGCCCCUGUGCGGACGCCGCUGUCGGAGGGGGAGGAGACGGGCUCGUUUUUGGAGUGGGGACAGCUCUUGUGCGGAAGCAGCAGCCGACAGCAAGGGAGAAUCUGCAGGUUAAGAUGCAGCAGCGGUAGGAGCUCCACCGGCAGCAGCGACAGGAGCUCCACCGGCCUGGAGCCCGGCCGGCGACAGGAUCUUCCCCCGACCUGAGCCUGCGUGCGGGUUGCUUUGAGAUAAUUUGAAGUUGCAGAAGGGUGUUUUUGUAAAAAAUGCGGUAGUUCAAAAUUGAAACCCCCUACGACAUGAAUUUCAGGACGAAGGGAGUAUAUAGCUGCAAUGAUUUUGAAUUUGUAAUGACCCGAUAAAUCACGGGUAGACAUGCGGCCAUGUGAGGAUGGUAUCUCAUCCGUUCGCUGCACAAAGAUCAAUGCAAUAAUUAUACAAUGAGUCAUGUAUAUUGAUUUC